RNAcentral lists this small nuclear RNA (164 nucleotides) under Dendronephthya gigantea. Its description in RNAcentral is "U1 spliceosomal RNA". It matches the Rfam family "U1 spliceosomal RNA". From Rfam's summary of the family: U1 is a small nuclear RNA (snRNA) component of the spliceosome (involved in pre-mRNA splicing). Its 5' end forms complementary base pairs with the 5' splice junction, thus defining the 5' donor site of an intron. The record is from RNAcentral. Lineage: Eukaryota; Metazoa; Cnidaria; Anthozoa; Malacalcyonacea; Nephtheidae.
AUACUUACCUGACGCGAGAGGCACCUUGAUCAACUAGGAGGUCCUCUCAGGAUGAGGCCCUUUCAUUGCACUUCGACUGGGUUGACUCCUGCGAUUACCCCUAAUGUGGGUAACUCGAGCGUAUAAUUUCUGGUAGUGGGGACCUGCGUUCGCCUCGUCCCCUU